GACGAACGCUGGCGGCGUGCUUAACACAUGCAAGUCGAACGGAAAGGCCCUGCUUUUGUGGGGUGCUCGAGUGGCGAACGGGUGAGUAACACGUGAGCAACCUGCCCUUGACUUUGGGAUAACUUCAGGAAACUGGGGCUAAUACCGGAUAGGAGCUCCUGCUGCAUGGUGGGGGUUGGAAAGUUUCGGCGGUUGGGGAUGGACUCGCGGCUUAUCAGCUUGUUGGUGGGGUAGUGGCUUACCAAGGCUUUGACGGGUAGCCGGCCUGAGAGGGUGACCGGCCACAUUGGGACUGAGAUACGGCCCAGACUCCUACGGGAGGCAGCAGUGGGGAAUAUUGCACAAUGGGCGGAAGCCUGAUGCAGCAACGCCGCGUGCGGGAUGACGGCCUUCGGGUUGUAAACCGCUUUCGCCUGUGACGAAGCGUGAGUGACGGUAAUGGGUAAAGAAGCACCGGCUAACUACGU
Molecule: ribosomal RNA, 467 nt
Filed under: uncultured bacterium
Lineage: Bacteria
Description: partial 16S ribosomal RNA
Rfam family: Bacterial small subunit ribosomal RNA
Source: RNAcentral